RNAcentral lists this ribosomal RNA (542 nucleotides) under uncultured bacterium. RNAcentral describes it as "bacterial SSU rRNA". It matches the Rfam family "Bacterial small subunit ribosomal RNA", at positions 777 to 1317 of the family's 1533-position model. The record is from RNAcentral.
AAUAGAUACCCAGGUAGUCCACGCCCUAAACGAUGUCGACUAGGUGUUGGGGAAGGAGACUUCCUUAGUACCGCAGCUAACGCGUGAAGUCGACCGCCUGGGGAGUACGGUCGCAAGAUUAAAACUCAAAGGAAUUGACGGGGACCCGCACAAGCGGUGGAUGAUGUGGAUUAAUUCGAUGCAACGCGAAAAACCUUACCUACCCUUGACAUGGUCGGAAGCCCGAUGAGAGUUGGGUGUGCCCGAAAGGGAGCCGACACACAGGUGCUGCAUGGCUGUCGUCAGCUCGUGUCGUGAGAUGUUGGGUUAAGUCCCGCAACGAGCGCAACCCUUGCCAUUAGUUGCCACAUUCAGUUGGGCACUCUAAUGGGACUGCCGGUGACAAACCGGAGGAAGGUGGGGAUGACGUCAAGUCCUCAUGGCCCUUAUGGGUAGGGCCUCACACGUCAUACAAUGGCGCAUACAGAGGGUUGCCAACCCGCGAGGGGGGAGCCAAUCCCAGAAAGUGCGUCGUAGUCCGGAUCGGAGUCUGCAACUCGACG